CCGCUGGCGCGUGCAGGGCUGCGAGAGAGGGGCCAGAGCACGUCUCCAUCACUUCCUCCUGCUGCAGAGAGCAGAGGCACUCCCGAGGGUCACCGCUGGACACCGCGGUCCUGACUGGGUCACAGGCUGCAGAGGCCAGCCGGCGAGUUGGUGACAGUGGCUGGGCCCAAGGGGAGGAGUUGCUGCAGACUUGGGCUGUCUCCAGACUCGGCUGGGCCACCCCCAACCCGCGGAGCUGCUGGCUGAGCUGUGAAGGGAAUGUCCAGGAGUUGAAGCUGUCACAUCUUGGGGUAGGAGACGGCAAGGGGGUGCUGCCAUCCUUCCUGCCCCGGAGUUUUGCCCCAGGAAACCGCCAGCCAGACUCACCUCACUGUCAGGCACAGGGAUGCUGCCCUAGUGGGUGGGGCUUGAAUGAGGGGCCCUGGGGGGCUGUGAGGCGCAGGCUGGGGUGUUCCCGCCAGCCUGCAGGGGCAAUCAUGCUUCUGACUGGUCCUCCAACAGGGGGACCCUCCCUUAGAAUCCUGACAUCUGUCAGUGCAGCCAUUCAAGCAGCCACCUCCCAGGACACCUCUGUUUGGACAGUGUUUUCUUUCCCGU
Diceros bicornis minor is the source of this 597-nucleotide long non-coding RNA. RefSeq lists it as uncharacterized. Lineage: Eukaryota; Metazoa; Chordata; Mammalia; Perissodactyla; Rhinocerotidae. The record is from RefSeq and is a predicted model, not a curated record. The transcript has 3 exons.